GGGCGCAGCCUGAUCUAGCCAUGCCGCGUGUGUGAAGAAGGCCUUCGGAUUGUAAAGCACUUUCACCGGGGAUGAAAACGCCGCUACCAGUACUCGAAACCCUUGAUAUUUCCCUGCCAACAACCGCCGGAUAACACCGUGCCAGCAGCCGCGGUAAUAC
This 160-nucleotide ribosomal RNA is filed under the name uncultured bacterium. RNAcentral's name for it is "partial 16S ribosomal RNA". It matches the Rfam family "Bacterial small subunit ribosomal RNA", at positions 373 to 526 of the family's 1533-position model. The record is from RNAcentral.